Molecule: long non-coding RNA, 228 nt
Filed under: Fukomys damarensis (Damara mole-rat)
Lineage: Eukaryota; Metazoa; Chordata; Mammalia; Rodentia; Bathyergidae
Description: lncRNA (ENSFDAG00000021764.1)
Source: RNAcentral
AAAGAACAAUUACUCAACUAUUGAAGGAAAAAUUAUGGGAGAUCUACAGCUCACAUAUUGCUAACUCAUAUUUAAAUAACAAUCAGCAAGAGCAGAGAGAACCCAAUGAAUGCCCAAGAGAAUCUCUGAGUCUAUACUGACCAAAACUGAAAGUGUUUCAGUAGAGGUAGUGUAUCACUAAGUUGCACUGGCAAGACAAACACUUGUGGUCCACCUGUUCAGCCUCCC